GGGCGAAUGGUUUAGUGGUAUAAUACUCCCUUAGCAUGAUUCAUCCGAAUAAAUUCGCGUUUGGGAGUGGUCCAGGGUUCGAUUCCCUGUUCGUCCA
Molecule: transfer RNA, 97 nt
Filed under: Ustilaginoidea virens
Lineage: Eukaryota; Fungi; Ascomycota; Sordariomycetes; Hypocreales; Clavicipitaceae
Rfam family: tRNA
About the family: Transfer RNA (tRNA) molecules are approximately 80 nucleotides in length. Their secondary structure includes four short double-helical elements and three loops (D, anti-codon, and T loops).
Source: Rfam by way of RNAcentral